Molecule: non-coding RNA, 1438 nt
Organism: Danio rerio (zebrafish)
Lineage: Eukaryota; Metazoa; Chordata; Actinopteri; Cypriniformes; Danionidae
Source: Ensembl
CUGACCUGCAGUGCAGCAGAAUUCCGAGACAUGUAACUUACUCCAGAGACGCACUAACUUGCACAGCAUUGAAUGGAAAAGGCUUUGUCCAUGUCCAGUUGAGGGCAUCAAGAACACGCAGAUGGCCUAAACCUGUGUCAGCCUGGACAGACUGCAGUUCUGCUACUCCACGCCAAGGCUUUUGUAUGGAUGUCUUGACUGCUACUGUGUUCUCUAAAGGUUUUCUGGAAGCUCCAUUUGAGGGCAUCAAGGACAUACUGAUGGCCUAAACCAGUGUCAGCCUAGACAGACAGACAGACAUCUAUUGCAGUUCUGCUACACAAGACCAAACUCUCUGCUUUUGUAUGGAUGUCUGACUAGUAUGGUGUUCUCUAAAGGUGUAACUGGAGCAAAACAACAGCACCCGUUACAGUGAAAUUUGUGUUCAUAAAAGAUAGUGAUAUAUCAGGUAUAGUAACAGGUCCAGUACAUUUGUCAUAAAGGUUAAAUCACAGUAAGUACUGUAAAAAUAACUUGUUUGCCUUUGCCACAACAGGUCAUGGUGUGUGCAUACUACUCGUAGUAAACACACACGCUGAUCUGAUGGGGGAGAGAUAUACGCAAACACAUUUGUAUUUACUGUUUUGUUUUGCCUCACUAAAGUGUUGUUGGAGCUUGGUAUGUUCACAGUUGAAAUCACUGAAGUCACAUGGAACGUUUUGACAAUGUGUUUUGUGCCUUAUCUUGACAAUGACCAUCUUGGGACCAUUGCUGUCUGUAGAGGAUGAGGAGCAUUUAAUCUAAAAUAUUUUAGUUUGUGUUCUGAAGAUUAACAAGUCUCUGGGAUGACACAAGUAAUUAAUAACAGAACCUAUAUGAACACUUAAUGUGACAUGUAAUAGUGAAAUAGUGGUCCUACAUUCACAAAUGUGAGCCAUUAUUAUAAGACCCAUGUGAACAUGCAAUUUUUAUGAUACUAAUAAUAAUAAUGGAAUAACAAAUUGCUUUUACUGUUGUGUUUGUGAGAGAGAAUCAAACCAUAUAUUCUACACAUUUUCUUGAUGAUUUACUGAAAUAUUUGUCUAUGUUCCACUGUCACAGGUGCUCAGUUUUGCUGCAGUAAUGCUAAACACAAUAGAUUUACUUUAUACAAAAAAAAUAAAUAAAUAAAUAUUUAGCAUGCAGACCUGCAAAGUGAAGCAGUAAUGUCAGGUUUAGAUUAUAGCAUGAGUUUUCACUAUUGUGAAAGUGAAGCCAUUCAUUUACAAUGAAUUGGAAUAGCAAACCUCAUCAUUGAUUUUGUAGGAAACUCACCUGGUGUUUGAGAAAUAAAUAUGUAUUUAAGUGCUAGACUGAUAUAGAUGUUUUAGUGUUUUACACUUGAUUUUUUUGUCCCCAGUGCCAUCUUUUACCUCAAGUGUUUCUCUCAACCUAUAAAACCUCAAACAGAUGUAAUGUA